RNAcentral lists this ribosomal RNA (1407 nucleotides) under Staphylococcus sp. A752. RNAcentral's name for it is "16S ribosomal RNA". It matches the Rfam family "Bacterial small subunit ribosomal RNA". The record is from RNAcentral. Lineage: Bacteria; Bacillati; Bacillota; Bacilli; Caryophanales; Staphylococcaceae.
UCGAGCGAACAGAUAAGGAGCUUGCUCCUUUGACGUUAGCGGCGGACGGGUGAGUAACACGUGGGUAACCUACCUAUAAGACUGGGAUAACUUCGGGAAACCGGAGCUAAUACCGGAUAACAUUUGGAACCGCAUGGUUCUAAAGUGAAAGAUGGUUUUGCUAUCACUUAUAGAUGGACCCGCGCCGUAUUAGCUAGUUGGUAAGGUAACGGCUUACCAAGGCGACGAUACGUAGCCGACCUGAGAGGGUGAUCGGCCACACUGGAACUGAGACACGGUCCAGACUCCUACGGGAGGCAGCAGUAGGGAAUCUUCCGCAAUGGGCGAAAGCCUGACGGAGCAACGCCGCGUGAGUGAUGAAGGGUUUCGGCUCGUAAAACUCUGUUAUUAGGGAAGAACAAACGUGUAAGUAACUGUGCACGUCUUGACGGUACCUAAUCAGAAAGCCACGGCUAACUACGUGCCAGCAGCCGCGGUAAUACGUAGGUGGCAAGCGUUAUCCGGAAUUAUUGGGCGUAAAGCGCGCGUAGGCGGUUUCUUAAGUCUGAUGUGAAAGCCCACGGCUCAACCGUGGAGGGUCAUUGGAAACUGGGAAACUUGAGUGCAGAAGAGGAAAGUGGAAUUCCAUGUGUAGCGGUGAAAUGCGCAGAGAUAUGGAGGAACACCAGUGGCGAAGGCGACUUUCUGGUCUGUAACUGACGCUGAUGUGCGAAAGCGUGGGGAUCAAACAGGAUUAGAUACCCUGGUAGUCCACGCCGUAAACGAUGAGUGCUAAGUGUUAGGGGGUUUCCGCCCCUUAGUGCUGCAGCUAACGCAUUAAGCACUCCGCCUGGGGAGUACGACCGCAAGGUUGAAACUCAAAGGAAUUGACGGGGACCCGCACAAGCGGUGGAGCAUGUGGUUUAAUUCGAAGCAACGCGAAGAACCUUACCAAAUCUUGACAUCCUUUGAAAACUCUAGAGAUAGAGCCUUCCCCUUCGGGGGACAAAGUGACAGGUGGUGCAUGGUUGUCGUCAGCUCGUGUCGUGAGAUGUUGGGUUAAGUCCCGCAACGAGCGCAACCCUUAAGCUUAGUUGCCAUCAUUAAGUUGGGCACUCUAGGUUGACUGCCGGUGACAAACCGGAGGAAGGUGGGGAUGACGUCAAAUCAUCAUGCCCCUUAUGAUUUGGGCUACACACGUGCUACAAUGGACAAUACAAAGGGCAGCUAAACCGCGAGGUCAUGCAAAUCCCAUAAAGUUGUUCUCAGUUCGGAUUGUAGUCUGCAACUCGACUACAUGAAGCUGGAAUCGCUAGUAAUCGUAGAUCAGCAUGCUACGGUGAAUACGUUCCCGGGUCUUGUACACACCGCCCGUCACACCACGAGAGUUUGUAACACCCGAAGCCGGUGGAGUAACCAUUUAUGGAG